RNAcentral lists this ribosomal RNA (403 nucleotides) under uncultured bacterium. RNAcentral's name for it is "partial 16S ribosomal RNA". It matches the Rfam family "Bacterial small subunit ribosomal RNA", at positions 30 to 526 of the family's 1533-position model. The record is from RNAcentral.
AUUGAACGCUGGCGGCAGGCCUAACACAUGCAAGUCGAGCGAGCGGCGGACGGGUGAGUAAUGUCUGGGGACUGCCCGAUAGAGGGGGAUAACUCCUGUACACGGUGGCUAAUACCGCGUACUGUAGGCUAACCACUAUGGGAUUAGCUAGUAGGUAAGGUAAUGGCUUACCUAGGCGACGAUCCCUAGCUGGUCUGAGAGGAUGAUCAGCCACAUGGGAAUUGAGACACGGCCCAGACUCCGACGGAGGCAGCAGUGGGGAAUAUUGCACAAUGGGCGCAAGCCUGAUGCAGCCAUGCCGCGGGUAUGAAGAAGGCCCUAGGUGUGUAAAGUACUUGCAGUCGGGAGGCGUUACCGACAGAAGAAGCACCGGCUAACUCCGUGCCAGCAGCCGCGGUAAUAC